UCAGGAUGAACGCUGGCGGCGUGCCUAACACAUGCAAGUCGAACGAAGCUUGACGGAUGAUUUCUUCGGAAUGAAACCAGAUAUGACUUAGUGGCGGACGGGUGAGUAACACGUGAGCAACCUGCCUUUCAGAGGGGGAUAACGGCUGGAAACGGUCGCUAAUACCGCAUGAUGUGUUCGGAUGGCAUCAUCUGAACAUCAAAGAUUUAUCGCUGAAAGAUGGGCUCGCGUCUGGUUAGAUAGUUGGUGGGGUAACGGCCUACCAAGUCUACGAUCAGUAGCCGGACUGAGAGGUUGAACGGCCACAUUGGGACUGAGAUACGGCCCAGACUCCUACGGGAGGCAGCAGUGGGGAAUAUUGCACAAUGGGGGAAACCCUGAUGCAGCAACGCCGCGUGAAGGAUGACGGUUUUCGGAUUGUAAACUUCUUUUCUUAGUGACGAAGACAGUGACGGUAGCUAAGGAAUAAGCAUCGGCUAACUACGUGCCAGCAGCCGCGGUAAUACGUAGGAUGCAAGCGUUAUCCGGAUUUACUGGGUGUAAAGGGAGCGCAGGCGGGACUGCAAGUUGGAUGUGAAAUACCGUGGCUUAACCACGGAACUGCAUCCAAAACUGUAGUUCUUGAGUGAAGUAGAGGCAAGCGGAAUUCCGAGUGUAGCGGUGAAAUGCGUAGAUAUUCGGAGGAACACCAGUGGCGAAGGCGGCUUGCUGGGCUUUAACUGACGCUGAGGCUCGAAAGUGUGGGGAGCAAACAGGAUUAGAUACCCUGGUAGUCCACACUGUAAACGAUGAUAGCUAGGUGUGGGGGGUCUGACCCCUUCCGUGCCGGAGUUAACGCAAUAAGCUAUCCACCUGGGGAGUACGACCGCAAGGUUGCAACUCA
Molecule: ribosomal RNA, 883 nt
Filed under: uncultured Bacillota bacterium
Lineage: Bacteria; Bacillati; Bacillota
Description: bacterial SSU rRNA
Rfam family: Bacterial small subunit ribosomal RNA
Source: RNAcentral